Molecule: transfer RNA, 74 nt
Filed under: Candidatus Aphodoplasma excrementigallinarum
Lineage: Bacteria; Bacillati; Bacillota; Clostridia; Eubacteriales
Description: tRNA-Gln
Rfam family: tRNA
About the family: Transfer RNA (tRNA) molecules are approximately 80 nucleotides in length. Their secondary structure includes four short double-helical elements and three loops (D, anti-codon, and T loops).
Source: RNAcentral
UGCGGAAUUGUGUAAGGGUAGCACAAGCGACUCUGACUCGCUUUGUCUGGGUUCGAAUCCUAGUUCCGCAACCA